Molecule: ribosomal RNA, 636 nt
Filed under: uncultured bacterium
Lineage: Bacteria
Description: bacterial SSU rRNA
Rfam family: Bacterial small subunit ribosomal RNA
Source: RNAcentral
AUUGAACGCUGGCGGCAGGCCUAACACAUGCAAGUCGAGCGGGGUAGCAAUACCCUAGCGGCGGACGGGUGAGGAAUGCAUCGGAACGUGCCUGUAGUGGGGAUAACNCAGCGAAAGUUGUGCUAAUACCGCAUACGCCCUGAGGGGAAAGUGGGGACCGCAAGGCCUCACGCUAUAUGAGCGGCCGAUGCCCGAUUAGCUAGUUGGUGAGGUAAUGGCUCACCAAGGCGACGAUCGGUAGCUGGUCUGAGAGGAUGAUCAGCCACACUGGAACUGAGACACGGUCCAGACUCCUACGGGAGGCAGCAGUGGGGAAUAUUGGACAAUGGGGGCAACCCUGAUCCAGCCAUGCCGCGUGAGUGAAGAAGGCCUCGGGUUGUAAAGCUCUUUAAGCGGGAGGAAGGUCGUGCAGUUAAUACCUGCGCGAAUUGACGUUACCUGCAGAAUAAGCACCGGCUAACUCUGUGCCAGCAGCCGCGGUAAAUACAGAGGGUGCAAGCGUUAAUCGGAAUUACUGGGCGUAAAGCGUGCGUAGGUGGCUGAUUAAGCUGGAUGUGAAAAGCCCCGGGCUUAACCUGGGANNGCAUUCAGGACUGGUCAGCUCGAGUCUGGGAGAGGGUGGUGGAAUUUCCGGUG